Molecule: long non-coding RNA, 2340 nt
Organism: Aegilops tauschii subsp. strangulata
Lineage: Eukaryota; Viridiplantae; Streptophyta; Magnoliopsida; Poales; Poaceae
Source: RefSeq, a predicted model, not a curated record
CUGCGACUGAUUUUGCGGCGCAUCAGCACCAGGCGAUGGUGGGUAUCCUGUACGUGCCGGUGGAUCUACAUAAUGUGUCGGCGCAGGGCUGACACUGCAGCCAGGUGACGUCGCUACCGCCGCCGAGCACCAUGUAGAGCUGCCGCGCGAGCCGGCCCACUCCGACACGCGAGAAGUACUCACCGCUCCCUGCCCGACGGCGGACACCACGGCCCCUGUGUCUCUGUUGCCAACGCCUCGAAGACCGGCGUGGUCUUGGCCGGCUUCAGAUCGGCGGCCCGGGGAGUCGCUGUGUAGGCGGGCGAGCACGUGGGACCUGUAUCUCUGGUGCCGGCCCUGCUCCUCCGGGAGGAAGUCCCUGGAGUCGAGCCGCAGGGUGAGCCCGCUCUGGUGAAGGAGUGGGUCGAGGAGAACGACCUGCGCUGUUCUUCAAUCGCGUUCUGGUGAAGGAGUCAAUCGCUGGUGAACGACAUGCUUAAUCUUGAACAUCCGAUUGCUUUCAACUUGAUCAACCUCUGCCCUUUUAUUCGUGGAAGAAGCAGCCCGUGAGGACGACCUGUUCUCCUUUUCAAUCUGGUGCGUAAGUCUGAAGUUUCUCUUUCUCAUGCCAUGUUCCCAUGAAUAGCUCCCUAGAACUGACAGAAUUCUGAUCACAAGACUGCUUUCAACUUGAUCAAGCUUUCCCUUUUAUAAGAAGAAGAAUCAGCCGGGGUUGUAUUUUGUCUACUGAGAUGGAAGAAGAGGCUAACACAUCGUACCAUCGUACCAUGCCAACAUGAGGUACCAAGCUUUCCCUUUCACUUUUACUUUUCUCUCAUCCUGAAAUAUGGCACUUGCAUAAGUUUUUUUUGCUGAUGAUUACUUUACAAUUGCAUAGCUAUAUUUUCCGUUUUGGUACCUCAUGUUUGCAUGGAUUUUAAAAAUUCGGAUGAAGCUUGGGCAUUUUGGUUUAGCUGUGGUGAUCAAAAGGGCUUUGAGGUCCGAAAAAGGUAUAUGAACAAUAGAUCCGCCGAUGCCAAGGUAACGCCAGGUCGAUUUGUUUGUGCAAGGAAAUGGAAUGCUUAAUCUCUUUUUCCGAAGUAAAUUCAAUUGUCAGGUCUGAAAAUGUACAAGUAGCAAGGGCUACAUAGGCUAAUUCAGUUAACAAGUAUGAACACUAAAUUCAGUUAUCAACUAAUCGGCCCGCAACGGUGCGACAACGACGGUGUGCGCAGCCGACCUGAAGCCAUGCAGAUGGGUGUGCAGGUCGUCGAUGUGGGGUUGCUGCGCGCGUAUGCCGAGGUGUUCAUCACGGGCGACGACUCGAGGGGGGCGACGAACAGGACGCCCUUGGACCGGCAUGGCGGGGAGGCCAUGUAGCACGUGUUGCUCUGAUUGCCCUGUAUCCUAGACGCCGCCGACCACAGGGGCUCCAGCUGCACGUGUUUCCCGGCCGCCUCCAACCAGAGGGGGCUCUUGCGACGUGUUGCUUUGUUUCCCGGCCACUGCGGACAGCGAGGGCUCCCUUUGCACGUGUUGCUUUGUAUCCCGGCCACCGUUGACCACUCGGGCUCCGGCUUCACGUGUUGCUCUGCGUCCACUGCUUCUUUGGCGAGCUAAUGGCGACGACGAGGACGCGCCUUGAGCUCGUUCUACCGCGAUGAAGAACUAUUUUUUUAGAGGUAGAAUGGGAAUUCUAGGGGAACGAGGAGAUUAUUGAAAUCAGGAGGUCAUCAUGGUAUGGAUAUUUUUAUUGUUUUUAUCUGUUUCAUACUACUAUUGGAUUUUGUUGUUUCUCACUAAGAGCUAUUUGACUUAUAUAAUCCCAAUGUUCUGUUGUUAUCUUCCAAACUAUUAAAAACUGGGUGUGUGCUUUAUUGUGAGCGUUCACGAGAGAAGCUUACUACUAUUUGGAAUAACAGGUUGCAAAUACGUUCGUUGCUCUGGACCUUGUCAUGGAAGGAUUAACACUAAAUGACCAUAAAUGAACUACAUUGGCUAGGACCUUCAGAUUAUGAGGGCGAGGAUGUCUUAUUGAUGCAACUUGAUGUUAUGCAGUUUAAGAGGUCAUGGCUGCGAGUAUGACAAACAAUUAUAUCUGCGUUACACGAUGAGUAUCUACAUAUUACCAUGGUUUCCCGCGAGGUAUUGGUGAUGGCGUUGGUUGCCAAGAUGCACUACCGGAGGGGGGCGGCAUAAUGCAAAUAUACUUGGCCACAAUUUAAUUUUCUUCAUGGACUGAUUUUGUAUCAAUUAGUUAACGAUAUUUGGUACUUGUUAUGCAAUGGACUUGGGAAUGUAUUCAUAAAGCAGGAUAUUUUCCAGUCAUUUUAAGGACUUAGAAAUUAUAUGCUAUCUGCA